AAGCAACACUCUAUGGCAGAUGAUCAAAACUGCUGACACAAUUUGAGCUUGUUACAAUAGAGUCUAACCAAUUUGGGUGCUCUCUCCUCUUUGAAACAAGCCAUUGUAUAGACUUAGUAUU
Molecule: small nucleolar RNA, 121 nt
Organism: Molossus molossus (Pallas's mastiff bat)
Lineage: Eukaryota; Metazoa; Chordata; Mammalia; Chiroptera; Molossidae
Product: small nucleolar RNA SNORA28
Exons: 1
Source: RefSeq, a predicted model, not a curated record